AUUACUACACAGUCCCCUUCUUUUCGGGGUUUAAUUUCACAGUGACCGUCUUCUUAUCUCGAGUCUCUCUCUCUCUCUCCAUCCCUCCUCCCUCUCCCUACUCGCUUUCGCCGCCGGUGCUUCUUCUCCGCAGCCAAUAUGCAGCGGCGGCAGGAAGAACAACAAGGCGAUACACCUGGAGGUAUGUUGGGGAAUGUUCAACAAGCUCACAAUCGGAGUCAGGCUUCAGAGAAUCAAAUGGGGCCAAAGAGGAGGAAGCAUUCAGAGUCGUGUUCAGGUCUUCCUGACAUUUCUGAAAUUGAGCGCCUAAUAAAGAAAAGAGAGUACAGUAGCGAUGAAGUUGAUCGCUUAGUUGAGCUAGCUUAUCGUAUCACUAGAGAAAGAAGAUAUAGACAGCAGCGAUCCUGUUGAGGGAAUUGACCGUGACACAAUUGACAAAGUAGCCAAACUUUUGAUUUCUGAAAGUAUUAACAAUGUUGGGAGCCGGGAUGGACCCAAAGAUUGAUCCUGCACGUAAUAAACCUGGACUUGUUCUCAAAAGCUUGCUAGAGGUGGUCAAGCUCCGCUUCUUAUCCUGCGCGAUUGAGGAAGCGAAGGCUGAAAGGAUGCGGAGAAGAGAUUCUUGUGAGUCAGAGAAUGAAACAAUGGCAAUAGAGACGGAGCAGAAGCUUGAAAUAAAAGAUGACUAGGGAGAUGGUUGUCUUUCAGCUCGAGAUUGGUAUACUGGAGGAUUGCCGGAUCUGGAAUCGGAAGACGAAGAUGCAAAUCUGAUACGGUCAUUUUCUUCCAGAUUUGCAUGUAAAGAUUGGUAUACCCGAGGUCGUCUGCUGUUGGUGCGUAUAGUGGUGAAUUGAUUCCCUGACAUGGGCGCUAGGCUAUUCAUUUGGGAGUUGGAUCAAGAAAGGGGUGGAGAACUCUGUCGUAGGAGGACUUAUAGUAUACACUACACCAAGUAAUACUUGGUAUAGGGACUGGGAUGUCGUGAAUAGGUAUCGACCCUAAUGAUUUGGAUAUAUGUUAUGUACUUGUAUAUCAUCAUGAGGAACUAGAAGGCGAAGCAAGUACAACCUUCACACGGGACAACGGUCCAAGAUAAAUAGAGUUUGAUGGGGUACGUAUUACGAGUUAUGCUCCCGAUGUUACUUGGGAAGUGCGUGCUUCAAAUUCCACUUCAUCCAGCGAAUCUAGAGAGAAACCAUCGCACGAGAAAUUAUUCAUCAUGCUUUUGGAAACAUCAAACACCUUAAAAUGCCUGAAGUUCAUAGCUAACUAAAAUAGUAACUCAAUCGUAGCCACAUUUUACUUUUGAGGAAUACUAGGAGUCCAAUCUCCUAUUACAUUGGAGGGUAUUGGACCUUGAUUCAAACCCAAUUUCUUAGUCUCCCUCUCCACUUGGCUUUCAGAUAUUCUUUAGUUUGUACUGAUUGUACAGCAAAAUAGAAAACAUGAAUCGAAUAUCAACUAAGCGGAGAUGUCUCAAUUCCGAAUAUCAACUAAGCAGAGAUGUCUCAAUUCGUCAUCAGAUUACUCUUCAUAGACUUCGGAGGAAAUGAAAGCAAAAAAUAAAUAUGAAC
Rosa rugosa (rugosa rose) is the source of this 1574-nucleotide long non-coding RNA. RefSeq lists it as uncharacterized. The record is from RefSeq and is a predicted model, not a curated record. NCBI's taxonomy places the organism in Eukaryota, Viridiplantae, Streptophyta, Magnoliopsida, Rosales, Rosaceae. The transcript is spliced from 5 exons.